Molecule: ribosomal RNA, 264 nt
Filed under: Triticum aestivum (bread wheat)
Lineage: Eukaryota; Viridiplantae; Streptophyta; Magnoliopsida; Poales; Poaceae
Description: partial small subunit ribosomal RNA
Source: RNAcentral
AUGGAAGCAAUUGUGAAGGCAAGAAAAGAAGCCAACGAGGUGAGGAAAAUGAUAAGGAACCAAGAUGUCGCGGCCGAGGAGAGGAGGUUGGCGGCCGAGGAGAGGAGGGUGACGGCCGAGGAGAGAAAGGUGGCUUUGGAGGAGAGGAAGGUGAGCAAUGAGGAGCGUACUAGAUUGUUGGAAUGGGAGAAGCACUUGUUUUUCUUGGACGCAUCUAACCUCAAUGUGGCGCAAAAGGAGUAUGUCAAUCUUGCCCGUGAAUAA